CCUACGGGAGGCAGCAGUGGGGAAUCUUGCACAAUGGAGGAAACUCUGAUGCAGCGAUGCCGCGUGAGUGAAGAAGGCCUUUGGGUUGUAAAGCUCUUUUGUAGGGGAAGAUAAUGACUGUACCCUAAGAAUAAGGUCCGGCUAACUUCGUGCCAGCAGCCGCGGUAAUACGAAGGGACCUAGCGUAGUUCGGAAUUACUGGGCGUAAAGCGCGCGUAGGCCGUUGAGUUAGUUAAUUGUGAAAUCCCAAAGCUUAACUUUGGAACUGCAAUUAAAACUGCUCGACUAGAGUUUGAUAGAGGAAAGCGGAAUACAUAGUGUAGAGGUGAAAUUCGUAGAUAUUAUGUAGAACACCAGUUGCGAAGGCGGCUUUCUGGAUCAACACUGACGCUGAGGCGCGAAAGUAUGGGUAGCAAAGAGGAUUAGAUACCCUCGUAGUCCAUACCAUAAACGAUGAUUGCUAGAUGUUGGAAAUUUAUUUCAGUAUCGCAGCUAACGCAUUAAUACACUACCGUCCGUCGGGUAGGUACGACCGACCGAACGUUAAACGUAACGAAAGGAAAGUUAGACGGCGUGAGACGUAGACCGACGGACGACGACGAGGGAGGUAGG
This 612-nucleotide ribosomal RNA is filed under the name uncultured bacterium. Its description in RNAcentral is "bacterial SSU rRNA". The stretch from base 1 to 516 matches the Rfam family "Bacterial small subunit ribosomal RNA", at positions 338 to 873 of the family's 1533-position model. The record is from RNAcentral.